Long non-coding RNA from Bos taurus (domestic cattle), 724 nucleotides. The record is from Ensembl. NCBI's taxonomy places the organism in Eukaryota, Metazoa, Chordata, Mammalia, Artiodactyla, Bovidae.
GGCAUGAUGAUGAGGAAAAGGGUAGAUAACAGAGCUAAAAGACAAUCUGUGUUGUGCGUGGGGGAGAGUUGUGAUGUUAUGACUAGACAGGAGAGCUGGCAUCGGGUGGUAAAGUCUGUGAAUGCCCUCCUGAAGAAGUGCAGCUCCUGAGCUAUAGGUAAAGGAAAUCAUCAGAAAGAUUUUGAGCAAGGAAAUGAGGAUAACUAAACUGUCCUUUCCAUGAGAUGGAAGUGUGAUCAUCUGCUUGCAGAUUCCCAGUCCCCAGGUUCUGACUCCCCUAAUGUCUGAGAGUGCCGUCCUAUUUCUUUUAAAUCUUCAAAGAAUGACAAGAGUGACUUCAUUGCUUUGACCAUUUUAAUCUCGGCUGCUACAAUAAUGAAACUUGGAAUAGGAGGAACUAAAAUAUGAACCAGCCAGAAAGAAGAGAUUUGGUUGACCAAGACAUGUCUUAGAGUUUGGUCAAGGGCUCUGCUCACAGGUUUCUACACUUGUACAAAUGCUGAAGAUGGAAAGGCCUUUCCUGAUUUGUUUGGAGAAUUGAAAUAGAAUUUUGCUUUCUUGCUGGAGGUCUCCAGAGGGGAUAGUCUCAUGAGAUGGAGCAAUUGAUCACAUUUGAUGGUUACCAGCUGGAUAAUGCACCUUCAAAUGGACUUUCCCCACUUCCUUGCCUCGUUUUACUAUUGCCUGCUUCCUUGAGGUUGAACCCUGAAUAAAGCAAUUCAUG